This 497-nucleotide ribosomal RNA is filed under the name uncultured bacterium. RNAcentral describes it as "partial 16S ribosomal RNA". It matches the Rfam family "Bacterial small subunit ribosomal RNA", at positions 28 to 507 of the family's 1533-position model. The record is from RNAcentral.
GAUGAACGCUGGCGGCGUGCCUAAUACAUGCAAGUCGAGCGAACGGACGAGAAGCUUGCUUCUCUGAUGUUAGCGGCGGACGGGUGAGUAACACGUGGAUAACCUACCUAUAAGACUGGGAUAACUUCGGGAAACCGUAGCUAAUACCGGAUAAUAUUUUGAACCGCAUGGUUCAAAAGUGAAAGACGGCCUUGCUGUCACUUAUAGAUGGAUCCGCGCUGCAUUAGCUAGUUGGUAAGGUAACGGCUUACCAAGGCAACGAUGCAUAGCCGACCUGAGAGGGUGAUCGGCCACACUGGAACUGAGACACGGUCCAGACUCCUACGGGAGGCAGCAGUAGGGAAUCUUACGCAAAGGGCGAAAGCCUGACGGAGCAACGCCGCGUGAGUGAUGAAGGUCUUCGGAUCGUAAAACUCUGUUAUUAGGGAAGAACAUAUGUGUAAGUAACUGUGCACAUCUUGACGGUACCUAAUCAGAAAGCCACGGCUAACUACGUG